AUUCCAUGAUGGGGACAUUCUAGGAUGUAGUCUUGAAAGCGCUCCCAUGCUUAUGGAACAGAUUCAUCAUUUUGUUGCUGAAAAGUCGUAAUCUUCCCACGGAGAGC
This 107-nucleotide small nucleolar RNA is filed under the name Sorghum bicolor (sorghum). Its description in RNAcentral is "Plant small nucleolar RNA R71". It matches the Rfam family "Plant small nucleolar RNA R71". From Rfam's summary of the family: R71 is a member of the C/D box family of snoRNAs containing the C (UGAUGA) and D (CUGA) box motifs. Multiple nearly identical copies of this snoRNA have been identified in Arabidopsis, and it is thought to function as a 2'-O-ribose methylation guide for 18S ribosomal RNA. The record is from Rfam by way of RNAcentral. Lineage: Eukaryota; Viridiplantae; Streptophyta; Magnoliopsida; Poales; Poaceae.